UCUGGUCUGUACUGACGCUGAGGAGCGAAAGCGUGGGGAGCGAACAGGAUUAGAUACCCUGGUAGUCCACGCCGUAAACGAUGAGUGCUAGGUGUUAGGGGGUUUCCGCCCCUUAGUGCUGAAGUUAACGCAUUAAGCACUCCGCCUGGGGAGUACGGCCGCAAGGCUGAAACUCAAAAGAAUUGACGGGGGCCCGCACAAGCGGUGGAGCAUGUGGUUUAAUUCGAAGCAACGCGAAGAACCUUACCAGGUCUUGACAUCCUCUGAACACUCUAGAGAUAGAGUUUUCCCUUCGGGGACAGAGUGACAGGUGGUGCAUGGUUGUCGUCAGCUCGUGUCGUGAGAUGUUGGGUUAAGUCCCGCAACGAGCGCAACCCUUGAUCUUAGUUGCCAGCAUUAAGUUGGGCACUCUAAGGUGACUGCCGGUGACAAACCGGAGGAAGGUGGGGAUGACGUCAAAUCAUCAUGCCCCUUAUGACCUGGGCUACACACGUGCUAC
This 499-nucleotide ribosomal RNA is filed under the name Oceanobacillus iheyensis. RNAcentral's name for it is "bacterial SSU rRNA". It matches the Rfam family "Bacterial small subunit ribosomal RNA", at positions 728 to 1228 of the family's 1533-position model. The record is from RNAcentral. Lineage: Bacteria; Bacillati; Bacillota; Bacilli; Caryophanales; Bacillaceae.